UACGGAGGAUGCGAGCGUUAUCCGGAUUUAUUGGGUUUAAAGGGUGCGUAGGCGGUCCGUUAAGUCAGCGGUAAAAUUGCGGGGCUCAACCCCGUCGAGCCGUUGAAACUGGCAGACUUGAGUUGGCGAGAAGUACGCGGAAUGCGCGGUGUAGCGGUGAAAUGCAUAGAUAUCACGCAGAACUCCGAUUGCGAAGGCAGCUUACUAAGCCAUAACUGACACUGAAGCACGAAAGCGUGGGGAUCAAACAGG
Molecule: ribosomal RNA, 252 nt
Filed under: uncultured Bacteroidales bacterium
Lineage: Bacteria; Pseudomonadati; Bacteroidota; Bacteroidia; Bacteroidales
Description: partial 16S ribosomal RNA
Rfam family: Bacterial small subunit ribosomal RNA
Source: RNAcentral